This 483-nucleotide ribosomal RNA is filed under the name Jardinella thaanumi. RNAcentral describes it as "partial 16S ribosomal RNA". It matches the Rfam family "Bacterial large subunit ribosomal RNA", at positions 1841 to 2586 of the family's 2925-position model. Lineage: Eukaryota; Metazoa; Mollusca; Gastropoda; Littorinimorpha; Tateidae. The record is from RNAcentral.
AAUUAUAAAGAGUCGAACCUGCCCAAUGAUAUAUAUUUAAUGGCCGCGGUACUCUGACCGUGCAAAGGUAGCAUAAUCAUUUGCCUUAUAAUUGAAGGCUUGUAUGAAUGGUUUGACGAAAACAAAGCUGUCUCUUUUUAACUUUAUAAAACUUGAUUUUUAGGUGAAGAAGCCUAAAUAAAAUUGAAAGACAAGAAGACCCUAUCGAGCUUUAAAAAUUUUUAUUAACACAAAAUGACUAACAUAGACCAAAUAUAAUAAAAAAUUUUAGUUGGGGCGACUAAGGAACAAAAAAGCUUCCGUUUUAGUAUCUUAAAGCAGAUUAGCCAUGAUCCAAAAGUUUUGAUUAAAAGAAUUAGUUACCGUAGGGAUAACAGCAUAAUCUUUUUUGAGAGUUCUUAUCGAAAAAAAGGUUUGUGACCUCGAUGUUGGACUAGAAUAUCCUAACGAUGCAGAAGUCUUUAAGGGUUGGUCUGUUCGACC